Molecule: non-coding RNA, 2286 nt
Organism: Oryzias latipes (Japanese medaka)
Lineage: Eukaryota; Metazoa; Chordata; Actinopteri; Beloniformes; Adrianichthyidae
Source: RefSeq, a predicted model, not a curated record
AAGCGAGAGACGUCAUAUUUAUCAUAAAUAUUGAUAGUUUUCACAGAGAAUAGCUUUGUAAUCUAUUUUUUUAUCAUAGUUAUCAAAGUUAAGGCUAUGCGCGCCACUUUUUGCUCCUGCCGGCUGCCUGCAGCCCUCAACGACAGCCAGGUAGGGGGAGGUGUGCGCGGUGUGUUGUAUUUUGACGCCGCAGGCAGAUUCAGCGGUAACGCGAGCUCAUCACACACUAUCAACUGCUCCUCCCUGAUGGUGAUGUACAUGCUCUGGUCUUCAAUGAGUCAGAUAAAUACAGCUGAGGCAUCAACAUCCCAUCACUAUGGCCAGCCUUCAACUCAGUGAACAGAGGUUAAGGCACUUACCUUCGGGACGAUAUUAUUUGAACCAACGCCGGUAAAGUGGCAUCCACAAUAUCAGGGACAUACCAUCUCCUCUGAAAAACGGGCAUGGAGCUCUGCUGACCGGGAGAAGAUGACAAUUGCUAUAGCCCUCGAGUAUUCGUGCAGAAAGAAAUCGGGGAGAAGCUGCAGUCAGAAAGUUCUGAACGAUUCUCACGGACACGCUGACCCAACUACAUCGGGAGCUCACCAUCAUGAAGGCGCUGUGUUGGAUGUAUGUCCGGUUGGAGGCCAGGGACUUUAUCCUGUCACCCUUCUUCUUCGCUGUGGUGACAAUCCCCUCUGUUACUGUUCCCUCAAAACCUGGAGGGUUGCCAAAGGCCAGGACACUCUCACCUGGCCACACAGCUAAAGAGCUCCCAAGCGUCACUGAGGUGGGCAGCUUUGUCAAAGGUGUAAAUAGAAAGAAUCACUAAAAAAUAUCUGCUCCUUCAGUCCAGAACUGCAGAAGGACAUAAAAAAACAAUAUGGUUCUAAAAAAUAAAAUGACCUGGACCCAUUUAGUUAAACCAGUGAGUUAGUAGAACCAAGUCAUCUUCAUCGUACAGAUGACAGUUUGGAUUGACCUUCACUGCUCACACAUACAGGAAGUGACACGGCUGCACCUGUUUCCUUUAUGUUUCUUAAUGACCAAUCACAGUGUCAUACUCUGAAUGUCAGAUGAACAUCACUCACCAAAUUUAUUAACGGACCCCCUGAGAAUCCUUGCUGAAAGAAAAACAGGAGAAGCUGCAGUCAGAAAGUUCUGAACGAUUCUCACGGACACACUGACCAACUACAACGGGAGUUUACCAUCAUGGAUGCACUGUGUUGGAUGUACAUCCGGUUUCCCAGGCCUUUAAGGUUCCUGCCGCUCCUCUUGGUCGUGCUUACUAUUCCGGUCAGCACUGUUCCAUUGAAAAUGGGAGGGCUCCCUAAGCUAAUAAUGCCCUCCCCUGCCCGGACAGCUAAGGAGCUUCCCACUGUCAUAGUGGGAAGCUUUGUCUGUGGGAGGGCGAUGAAGACAACGCAGAUUUGAGCAGAUCCUUGACACCACCUACCACAUCAGAGUGGAUCUCUGCCUAACAUCUACAGCUCCCUCUCCCUCAGUAAAGCCCAGAACAUCACCAGAGACGGCUUCCACCCUGGACAUUGCCUCUACUGCCCUCUUGGUGGCGAUACAGAUUAUUUUCAAACAAGAACAAAUAGACUAAGACAGCUUUCUUACCCCAGAGCGGUCUCAGCCCAUUGAAGAAUGUCUUCAGACGAGGCAGCAAUUGAGAUGCCAGCUUUAUAUUGUGCAUCCCAAAAACUUCCCUGUCCUGCGGAGCCAUACGGCAGAAAAAGGACUAUUAGGCAAUAAGAUGACAGUCUCUGUGGGCUUUACGUGCACACAUCCGUGUGUCGUUAAUCCCUGCUAUCAGUGUGCAUUAGAACGUGGCCAUCAAUCCAUGAACAUGGGCCGUUCACUAUGCCCAAAAUUCAUUGUCAUCAGGUACGAUGUGUGCCAAUUGUGGUGGGUACCGCUGACAGUUUGUGAUGUUUUACAGUUUCGAUGCAUUUUUUUUUUUUAGUUAUGUCAAUUCCAAAUGAAGGCCCUCUGUUAAGGCUGCUGCUGCUGGUUAGAAAAGGGAGGGAAAAGUUUGAGUUAUUAACCUGAUAACUCCUAAAGCACAUUGGUCCACUUCCAUGCAGCCAAUGUUCGCUACAUCAAAUCCAUACAUGAAGAACUCAAUUUUUCUGCAGCAAAAAGUGUUCAAACUGAGCCUGUUGUCUCUUUUGAAAACCUUUUAAUAAAUAUGUUGUGUAAAACCUGCUCAUGUUUUAGAAAAAAAUGUCUUGAUACAUUCUAUUUGUGUAUUUGUAUGACUUUUAUUUGACAUAAUUAUAGUCAUAAACUGCUUUCUCUGCC